This is a non-coding RNA of Hydra vulgaris (swiftwater hydra), 1068 nucleotides long. Lineage: Eukaryota; Metazoa; Cnidaria; Hydrozoa; Anthoathecata; Hydridae. The record is from RefSeq and is a predicted model, not a curated record.
AUGUAUUCUUAGAUUUGCAACAUGUUGAGUUUUUUGAACUUCUUUGGUGGUUAAUUGACUUUUCAAGCAGGCACCAGUUGGAACAACUAAAGUACAGAAAUUUAAAAUUAAAUCUUCAUGAAUUUGAAAACCUCAAUCAGCCAUAACUUCGUCAUCUCUCUCUAGUAGAUUAUAUAUACCACUAUCUCUUGUAAUAAACCUAUCACUUGCUCUUCCACCAUAACACGAAGAAAGAAAUGUAAUAUAUCGAGUUGGACUAACACCUAUUAAAAAAUUAAAUGUAUUAUGAUGCAUAUAUUCUGACCAGGUGCUUGAUUGCUUAUCAAGGGACUUUGAACGUUCUAUAAACACUUCUGCACAAUCAAGAAUUACUCAACAUUUUUGAUAACCAGCUUUCACAAAAACAGGUGGCAGAUUGUUACGAAUAGAUUCAUGUGAAAGCCAUACAACUAAUGCUUGUCCUAAAACUUGACUUAACAUUUUAAUCCAAGUUGUGAAUGUACAAUGCUGGGGAUAUGCCAAAACGAUCAGCUAAGUCUUGAUUUAGAAGACCUAAUCUUAUAUGCAUUAAAACAAAAUUGGUAAACUUUUUUGGACCAGACCAAUAAACUAAAUUGGGUAAAUAUGGUUUAAUUAUUAAAAACAAAUUCUCAAAUAACUUAAUUGUUGAUAAACCAGUGUAAAAGUUCAUUUUAGCAUCAGUUUUAAUUUUUUUCCAUGUAAAUACUGAACUUUCAACACUAUCAAAUAACUUUUGAAGCUUUAAUUUUUGGCAAGUUAAUGUUAACAUGUUUACUUUACUGAUGAGUGAUUCGAUUAAAUUGCUCAUGUCAACAUAUACUUUGAAAUACGAAUGAUCAGAUACUGGCAAGAAUGAUACAUUUUCUACAUGAUACAUUUGCUAAUUGUAAACUAUUUACUUCAUAUAAAUCUGUUAAAACAUCAUUAGAAUGAGGUGACUGUCCUGAAGCAAGUGUCAUCAAAGUCGAACAACUUGUAUUAGCAGUGCAGUCAAGCUUUUGCUUUUGUAAUGGUAUAGGGUGUUUUAAUAAUUUUCUUCUAGAUUUA